Molecule: long non-coding RNA, 339 nt
Organism: Cyprinus carpio (common carp)
Lineage: Eukaryota; Metazoa; Chordata; Actinopteri; Cypriniformes; Cyprinidae
Source: RefSeq, a predicted model, not a curated record
CAGAGUGGCGGGACGAAAUCCAGCGUCCUCCCGCGUCAGGUGCGACGGCGCUGGCGCUGGAUUUCAAAACAAGCGGCCGCGUGCUGCCCUGUCAUUAGCCGCACUCCAGCUCCGGCUCCAAAACACCAGCCAGACUGACACACGCUCAUGCAAAUGAGGCUGACAGCAAAGUUAUCAUCUUGCCUGUCACAAAGGCCUGGGAAACCUCACACAGUCAUUCACUCUUCAGAAAGCACCAUUUUUAGCAUCUACAGUACCGAACCAUGUGCAUAGCCCAGCCACCGGCUUGUUUAUAUAGAAGUGAUCAAGAAAGUGGCAGAAUUUUGCAAUGCAGAGGCU